AAUACAAAAUAGCACAUCAGGCUCCAAACCUUUAUACCCUUUUAUUUCUAAUCCCAAGACUUUUAUACCUUACCUAAGGAGCUAGAAAAUGAUCACUUUCCCUUUUGUUAAAUUAUAUAUUCACAAGGUUGAAUAAUAGCACAUUAAUACGCACUACUCGUUAUUAAACUGGUCUGAAAAUUCAAUUAUUAUCUCACCACGCUAGCUAAUUAAUUUCAGAUUCUUUCCAUUUUCACCAAAAUAUUGAAGGUUACACGCUCCAAAAAGUAGUUAAAUCCAGUAAAUAUUAAUUGAAAACUCAUUUUAUUUCGAUUUCGAUGACUCUAAAUUCUCUUAAUCCACCUGGAGUAUUACAAUCAUUGUUUUUAAGAUUAUAAAAAUUUAUUUAUGUUAUGCUUUGUAACUUUAAAAUAUUACUCCCUUCAUAGCUUAUUUAAACUUACUGCCAUUUUGAACUUGUAGUAUCAUAUAACUAUGACAAUUUAUUUAUUUGUAAGUUACGCACUUCUAUGUAACUUUGAUAACAUUAUUCCAUAGCUGGUUUAACAUAGUAACUAUUUUUACAAAAGAUAUAUAGUAUUUCUCAAUUAGACAAUGGAUACUAUCCCAUUAAUUUAUUUCCUUUUUAGUGUUCCACUAGUCAAAGUACUUUACGUAAGUUAAAAGUUUAUAUGGAAAGUUUCUAUAAAUGGGAGAUAAAUUCAAUAUUCUGUCUAUAAUAUUACAUUCACCACAUACGGAGCGUGAAAAUUUUCCCUCUUUCUUGAUUUCUUUUAUACCAAUGUUUCCUUCUUUCUUGAUUCAUAAAACUAAGAUUAGUAUUUUUUUUGCCUCUGUUGUACAGAUAUUUGAAAAUGAAGCAGUGAUUAGUUGUUGUAUGUUGUUAUCUAGUGAAACAAGAUUAGGUGCAUUUUGUCUUUCAAUAGUUUGGCUUGUUUGUUUGUUGGAAAUUGAGUUUGAUUAUAAGCGGAAGAAGUGGAGUCAACAUUUAAAGCUUAUGCGUUUGAGAUUCUAGUUCUUUUAAAGUUAUUGAGUUCAAAACUAAUAAUACCUACGUAGAAAACUAUAGGGUUUAGACCAAAGCUGUUGGGUCGUCUGAAUACUCAAGCUAUACAUUGGCUCCACUCCUGAUAAUAUGGAGAAAGUUGGAAAGCAAGAACUGGCUCUAAAGAAAAAGAGGGAAAGAUGUGCUUUUGUGGAUCAAGAUUAUAUAAAAGAGGGUGGAGUUGCCUAUGAUGGGGAUAAUAGUUCUAGUUCUAGCGAUGAUGAACCUGACACGCAUUAUAUGACUUUCUUGGCUAAUGCUAAGCCAGAUGGAAAAUCAUUUGUUGUUAAAGCUAGUGAUCAGAAUGGUUUGCCCGUGUUCCUUAAGUAUGAGAAAGAGGAUGGAUUUGAUGAUGAGCGCCAAUAUGAUAGGGAGUUGGAGAUUCGUGGAGUUGAGAAGAAUCAGGAUAAUGUUAGGGAAAAUUACAAAUUGGGGAGUUCCAAAACUCUGAAGACUAAUGCGAGAAAGAAUAGGAGUGCCUCCAUUGUUGAGAAGCAGAAGACGAAAGAUGGGAUUUUGAGUAAGAAACGAGGGAAGGAGGAUAGGGAUUUAGAUAAAAGGAAGCAAAGAGUUGAUGUGAAGAAGGAGAAGAAGACUCAGAAUGGUAGCAAAUUCAUGGACGCGGAAGUAAGAAUAGAACCUAAAGAAGAUUCUGAUGGAAGAGUAGAACCUAAAGAAGAUUCUGAUGGUCUUGAGGAGGCGAGUCCCCAAAGCGAAGUAGAAAUCCUUGAGAAUGUAGAUGCAGGGGGCAGGGGCAGUAGCUCUAACCCCUUUGUACCUUCAGUGAAACACUCCGAGAAUCUGGAGGAUGCGACAAUUAUAGAUUCUGGGUACAGGAAGGAGGUUCUGAUUUUAUUGAUGAGGCCCUACGAUGACGAGGAGUACAAGAAGCUUUGGAAAGACAUUAAGAUGCAAAUACCAUCUAGCGAUAGUGAAACAAAUACACGUGGAAAAUCCCUUCUAGCACUCCAUAAAGAAUCAGUGAUCGUUAGGAAUUAUUUGAGAUUUGUUACUACAGUGGACUUCUGGAGGAAGAGGAGGAGACUGGGACAUGGAAAAUAGCUCAUUUGACGGUGAUGCAUGCCAUAUAAAAAACAAAAAGGCUUUUAAGGGAGUUGAGAACUCUUUUCAGGAGAGUGCAGCAUCUUUAUUAUUAUCUGUACACUUUUGGAGAGCACGUGAUAUUUUAGUGAGUAGUGAUGACAGGAUGCUAUUUGAAGGAAAUAAUGUUUUCUGUAAGAUUCUCUAUUAUUUGUAAACAACUUUUAUGUGAGAAUUUAUCUUACUAUGUUAAUAAAUUAUAAUCCUCACUAUAAAGGUGGGGAGUCUACUUGAGAAGGUAAGAAACAGGGAUAGAGACAUGACUUGUUUGGAAAUCCUAUUGAUCAAGGAAGGCAAUGAAAAAUCAAUUAAGAGUUUUCCACAAUUGAGAGCUGUGAAUGCAGCAGGAUUGCAAAACUGACAUGCAUAUUUAGGGUUUGCUUCUAUGUAAUUCAGGUGUCAAUCGGGAAAUCAAAAGGACCAAUCAUGACAAAGAUAAAAAGUUGAAUAUCAUGCGCGGAUUUUUCUUUUGGUUAGAGCAUCUAACUCGGGAAGAUGCAUUCAUGCCUUGGGAAGAUGCCGA
RNA transcript from Lycium barbarum (goji berry), 2669 nucleotides. RefSeq lists it as uncharacterized. The record is from RefSeq and is a predicted model, not a curated record. The transcript has 6 exons. Lineage: Eukaryota; Viridiplantae; Streptophyta; Magnoliopsida; Solanales; Solanaceae.